UGUGACGUCAUUAAGUAUGUUGAAACAUGAACCCGUAAGGUGCGCUAUAUUUCUGAUACUAUCACAAGUAUCCUUAGCCGUGUACAUAACCGGAUAACAUAUUACUAGUGUGUAUCAAUACUGUUUGAAAAUUUUGAUACAAAAUUUUGGACGAAGGAGAUCUUAUGCAAGGUCCGCAAUUCUUCAAGAUUAGUUAUACAGAAAUCCAAAAAAGAAGCUUUGUGUAAACAAGAGGGAGAGAAGCCAGGUCGCUGUCCAACAUGCGAUUCCACCUCCUUAUAACAGUAUCACUGGCAAUAGCCUAUGGAAUCACUAUGAUAGAACCUACUACAACAACCACACCUACUACAACAACCACAACUACUAUAACAACCACUUCUAC
Long non-coding RNA from Mizuhopecten yessoensis (Yesso scallop), 382 nucleotides. RefSeq lists it as uncharacterized. The transcript has 3 exons. The record is from RefSeq and is a predicted model, not a curated record. Lineage: Eukaryota; Metazoa; Mollusca; Bivalvia; Pectinida; Pectinidae.